RNA transcript from Mesocricetus auratus (golden hamster), 2487 nucleotides. It is a transcript of the gene named patatin like phospholipase domain containing 3, with no coding region annotated. The record is from RefSeq and is a predicted model, not a curated record. The transcript has 10 exons. NCBI's taxonomy places the organism in Eukaryota, Metazoa, Chordata, Mammalia, Rodentia, Cricetidae.
GCUGUGCCUCUCGGUAGGCUCAGAACCACAAACCCGGAGCGGAGUUGAGUUGCAGCGCCACCCAGAGCGCCGAGCGCCCAGCGCCAUGUACGACCCAGAGCGCCGCUGGAGUCUGUCGUUCGCCGGCUGCGGUUUCCUAGGCUUCUACCACGUCGGGGCCACGCUGUGUCUGAGCGAGCGCGCCCCACACCUCCUCCGCGAUGCGCACACGUUCUUCGGCUGCUCGGCUGGUGCACUGCACGCGGUCACCUUCGCAUGCAGUAUCCCUCUCGAUCAGAUCAUGGAGAUCCUCAUGGACCUUGUGCGGAAAGCCAGGAGCCGCAACAUUGGCUCCCUUCAUCCGUUCUUCAACAUUAAUAAGUGUAUCCGAGAUGGGCUCCAGGAGACCCUCCCAGACAAUGUGCACCAGAUCAUCUCUGGCAAGGUUUACAUCUCACUCACCAGGGUGUCGGAUGGGGAGAAUGUGCUGGUGUCUGACUUCCAUUCCAAAGAUGAAGUGGUGGACGCCCUGGUGUGCUCCUGUUUCAUUCCCUUCUUCUCCGGCCUAAUCCCUCCUUCUUUCAGAGGUGAGCGGUAUGUGGAUGGAGGAGCCAGUGACAAUGUCCCCCUGCUGGAUGCCAAAACCACCAUCACAGUGUCCCCUUUCUAUGGUGAGCAUGACAUCUGUCCCAAAGUCAAGUCCACCAACUUCUUCCAAGUGAAUGUCACCAACCUCAGUCUCCGUCUCUGCACCAGGAACCUCUACCUUCUGACCAGAGCGUUCUUCCCACCUGAUGUGAAGGUGAUGGGAGAGCUGUGCUUUCAAGGGUACCUGGAUGCCUUCCGGUUCCUGGCAGAGAACGGCAUCUGUAAUGGGCCACAGCCCAGCCUGAGUCUGUCCUCAGAGGAGAUGGAGCCAGAAGCCAUGCCUCUCUGCCUGGAAAACAGCAGUCUUGUAGGGGACAAGCUACCAGCCAGCCUGUGCCUUACAUCUGUUCCCUGGGAUGAGAACAUCUGGGAGACCCUGUCCCCCAAGCUCAGCAUAGCUGUGAGUGAAGCCAUUAAGGACAGGGAUGGCUAUCUGAGCAAAGUCUGCAACCUCCUGCCCAUCAGGAUCCUGUCGUACAUCAUGCUGCCCUGCACGCUGCCCGUGGAGCUGGCCAUCGCUGUGGUCCACAGGUUGGUGAUAUGGUUCCCUGACAUCCCUGAUGAUAUCCAAUGGUUACAGUGGGCGACAUCCCAAGUUUGUGCCCGAAUGACAACGUGUCUGCUCCCCUCUACCAGCAUGAGACUCCUGGGGAAAUCCCAGUUCCUUGACCUCCAUUGUCUCAAGGGUCUGAGAGCCUAAGAGAGGGCACAGCUGUCUCUUCAGAAUGCUUUCUUUCCUGCCAGAACCACAAGAUUCCGAGCACCCGAGAGUGACGACCAAGCACCCAAGAAUGGACAUCACUCAUCGCUACACAAACCCCAGUGUGGCUCUGCUGGCUUAUAAAUUGUUGGUCUCCCUGCUUCCUAUGAAUUUGGACAUUCUCCAUGUGAAUGGUCCAGGAGGGACCAAAGCUGAGGCCACCCUGCCUUCCACCACAAGCCUGGCUUUACCUUCAGCUAAAGCAAGUGUCUGAAUGGUGGGUGGGUGGGGUGCUAUAGUCUGUUUUGCAGUGGGAAGGGCUCUGUUCCUUUUGGAGGCAUCUAGGAAAUUACUGUCCAGGAGCUGGGUCUCCUGUCUGUGCAGCUGCCCCUGGGUCCUGUGGGGACCUCAUGCCUGUGGCCCCAGAAUCACAGGAUCUGGGCUAAAUUGGUGGUUUAUAGAAACCAAAGACAACUGUCUUUAGAAACUCUGUCUAGUCUGGGUGAAGUCUAGUGUUUGAGAGCUAACCCAGAGAGGAGGCUCCACUGUCUCUCAGACUGAAUAGUUCCGGAUGCCAAGGGCAACAGUAUUUGGAAACAGGAAUCUAAACUGGGUGAUCUCAUAAGGAAAAAUGUUGGGGAAGUGUAUGGAAUGGCGUGUGGCUGUCCCUGAGAAGAGCCUGACAGUCGAGGAAGAUAACUUACUACAUUCAAGGACACCGUUGGUUCUUACUAAAAUACUUUAUAGUUUAUAAAGAAUUUUAUAUAAACAGACUAGGGAAUGGGUAGUGAACUACAUGUGUGAUCAGUGAACUGUGGAUAGAAUUAACCUUACAAUAAAAUCUCUUGUAUGUGGGGGCAAAACAACACAGGCAGAGAGCACAGUGGACCUCUGUGUCCUCACCCUCAGCUUGAACUUGGCUUGUUUUCUCCACUGUCUCCAAAUCUUUGUAUUGUCAUGAGCCAUCACUGCCUCUCUCCUUUCUGGUCUACUCCACCAUCACCGCCUCUCUCUGUUCUCGGCUACUCCACUGGCCUUAAUGGGGAGAAGCAUCUACUUUUCUUAGGUGUAUGUCUACAGCUGCGGGUGUGAUGUGUGUUUCCCGAAAUUCACAUGUUAGAUUAGAACACAAACAAAAAAAAAGCCCGAAACAUGGACCU